GGCCUGGCCGUUUGGAGGAGGUGCCGGGGCGGUGCGAAGGGAGGCGGGACAGGGUAGACUCACAGAUCCAGGAGCUGACUGACCCGCCGUGGGCGAGGCAUCGCUGCACCGUCUGGGGCCUCUUCCGCGGUCCCAAGGCCUCCAGAACGAGCCAGGGACCGUCCGCGAACUCCCGAUCCCCGCGCGACGCGUAGGUUUUAUGACGUCACACGGAUUUUUUCUGUGACCGGGGCGUGGCCACGCUUCAGACUCCACAAGGAAAGGAGAGAGCCCCCUUUGGGGCGGAGCCACUGAGAGCUGCGCGGAAGAGGCUGGGUAUGAUAAAAUAUACAGAGGCCCUAAGCUCGGUGCAGCCCACGGGAGUUGUAGUUCUUUCACCUCACUGGCUUCCGCCGGGGUUAGGCUGCAGGAAGUUUCCCGGGAGUUCAUCCCAGCACGAAGCCCUGUCGCGACGCCACGAGCCGAAAACGCUUCUGUGGCGAAGGGAGCGCCGAGAGGUCGCAGCUCUUACUGAAAGGUUGCGGUGGACGCUAGGCCACACCGUUGGCGAUGCACGCUGGAAACCCGCGUGGAUACGGACUCAGUUAACAUCAAACGGAGCGUUUUCGAGGAUCCGAAUUUACUGAGCACUUUCUAGGAAGCGUCCACUGAGCUACGUGCUUUCUAUACCUGAGUUCAACAAUUAACCGUAUUUUUUAAAAUUAACCAUAUUCAUUAUAAUCCGGUUAAGUCAGAAUUAGCCUAUUUUACAGAUGAGGACACUGCGUGCCAAAAAGUAACCUCGCUCAGAAUUUCGUCAUGAAGGAGGAGGGAACCUGUAUCCAAAUUAGGAAGCAUCCUAAAGAAAGGGCACCUUUCCACAGCUCCUCGAAAAUUGGAACCCACUCCUGUUCGCCUGUGUCGGCUGCUGCGCAUUCAAUCAACAUGCAUUUAUUAAGCGCUGAAUGAGGGCCAGGGAUCGUGCUGGGUGCUGAGGAUUGAGUGGCGAACACUUGCGUCAGACAAGUAAAAGGCUUGAAGUUAGAGGAAGGCAGAGUAUGAGAAUUAUAGAAGAAAAACCAUGGUCCUGACUGAACAUGCCUGAGCAUCAUCCUUCCUCUUACAUAACUCAGUCAUUUCCUUCUCUUGUUAAUAAAAUCAGUGGAGUUGAGUUUUCUGUUUGUUGCUUCUCAAAACACCCUAACAGCUACAUAUCCGUAGCAGGAAUCACCAGUAUAUAGGUGGAAAUUGAAGAUAUAGGAAUGGAUGAGAUCACCUAACACGUG
Saimiri boliviensis boliviensis (Bolivian squirrel monkey) is the source of this 1265-nucleotide non-coding RNA. The record is from RefSeq and is a predicted model, not a curated record. Lineage: Eukaryota; Metazoa; Chordata; Mammalia; Primates; Cebidae.